UAGGGAAUCUUCGGCAAUGGACGAAAGUCUGACCGAGCAACGCCGCGUGAGUGAAGAAGGUUUUCGGAUCGUAAAACUCUGUUGUUAGAGAAGAACAAGGACGUUAGUAACUGAACGUCCCCUGACGGUAUCUAACCAGAAAGCCACGGCUAACUACGUGCCAGCAGCCGCGGUAAUACGUAGGUGGCAAGCGUUGUCCGGAUUUAUUGGGCGUAAAGCGAGCGCAGGCGGUUUCUUAAGUCUGAUGUGAAAGCCCCCGGCUCAACCGGGGAGGGUCAUUGGAAAAUGGGAGACUUGGGUGCAGAAGAGGAGAGUGGAAUUCCAUGUGUAGCGGUGAAAUGCGUAGAUAUAUGGGGGAACACCAGUGGCGAAGGCGGCUCUCUGGUCUGUAACUGACGCUGAGGCUCGAAAGCGUGGGGAGCAAACAGG
This 429-nucleotide ribosomal RNA is filed under the name Chloroflexota bacterium. RNAcentral describes it as "Chloroflexi bacterium partial 16S ribosomal RNA". It matches the Rfam family "Bacterial small subunit ribosomal RNA", at positions 355 to 776 of the family's 1533-position model. Lineage: Bacteria; Bacillati; Chloroflexota. The record is from RNAcentral.